RNAcentral lists this transfer RNA (72 nucleotides) under Sphaerodactylus townsendi. Its description in RNAcentral is "tRNA-Ala". It matches the Rfam family "tRNA". From Rfam's summary of the family: Transfer RNA (tRNA) molecules are approximately 80 nucleotides in length. The record is from RNAcentral. Lineage: Eukaryota; Metazoa; Chordata; Lepidosauria; Squamata; Sphaerodactylidae.
GGGGUCGUGGCUUGGUGGUAGAGCACCUGCCUUGCAUGCAGAAGUUUCCACGUUCAAGGCCCAGCAGCUCCA